UACAGAGGUCUCAAGCGUUGUUCGGAUUCAUUGGGCGUAAAGGGUGCGUAGGCGGCGCGGUAAGUCGGGUGUGAAAUCUCGGAGCUUAACUCCGAAACUGCAUUCGAUACUGCCGUGCUUGAGGACUGGAGAGGAGACUGGAAUUUACGGUGUAGCGGUGAAAUGCGUAGAUAUCAGGAGGAACACCGGUGGUGUAGACGGCUCACAGGACCGUAACUGACGCUGAGACACGAAAGCGUGGGUAGCAAACAGG
RNAcentral lists this ribosomal RNA (253 nucleotides) under uncultured bacterium. RNAcentral describes it as "partial 16S ribosomal RNA". It matches the Rfam family "Bacterial small subunit ribosomal RNA", at positions 524 to 776 of the family's 1533-position model. The record is from RNAcentral.